RNAcentral lists this non-coding RNA (24 nucleotides) under Arabidopsis thaliana (thale cress). The record is from RNAcentral. Lineage: Eukaryota; Viridiplantae; Streptophyta; Magnoliopsida; Brassicales; Brassicaceae.
UGCCAGUUGUAUGAGCCACAUAGG